UUGGAUGAUGUCUAACGUGGGCCAACCAUC
This 30-nucleotide non-coding RNA is filed under the name Rattus norvegicus (Norway rat). The record is from RNAcentral. Lineage: Eukaryota; Metazoa; Chordata; Mammalia; Rodentia; Muridae.